UAAUGCCGGAUGCUCCAGUUGAUCGCAUGGUGUUCUGGGAAAGCCUUUGCGGCAUGGGAUGGGGUCGCGUCCUAUCAGCUUGAUGGCGGGGUAACGGCCCACCAUGGCUUCGACGGGUAGCCGGCCUGAGAGGGCGACCGGCCACAUUGGGACUGAGAUACGGCCCAGACUCCUACGGGAGGCAGCAGUGGGGAAUAUUGCACAAUGGGCGCAAGCCUGAUGCAGCGACGCCGCGUGAGGGAUGGAGGCCUUCGGGUUGUAAACCUCUUUUGUUAGGGAGCAAGGCAUUUUGUGUUGAGUGUACCUUUCGAAUAAGCACCGGCUAACUACGUGCCAGCAGCCGCGGUAAUACGUAGGGUGCAAGCGUUAUCCGGAAUUAUUGGGCGUAAAGGGCUCGUAGGCGGUUCGUCGCGUCCGGUGUGAAAGUCCAUCGCUUAACGGUGGAUCCGCGCCGGGUACGGGCGGGCUUGAGUGCGGUAGGGGAGACUGGAAUUCCCGGUGUAACGGUGGAAUGUGUAGAUAUCGGGAAGAAC
Molecule: ribosomal RNA, 533 nt
Filed under: Bifidobacterium breve
Lineage: Bacteria; Bacillati; Actinomycetota; Actinomycetes; Bifidobacteriales; Bifidobacteriaceae
Description: bacterial SSU rRNA
Rfam family: Bacterial small subunit ribosomal RNA
Source: RNAcentral